AACGAACGCUGGCGGCGCGCCUAAUACAUGCAAGUCGAGCGAGAAGACGUAGCAAUACGUUUGUAAAGCGGCGAACGGGUGAGGAAUACAUGGGGUAACCUACCCUCGAGUGGGGAAUAACUAGCCGAAAGGUUAGCUAAUACCGCGUACGCUCCUUGGACUUCGGUUCAGGGAGGAAAGCGAUACCAUGGGUAUCGCGCUCUUGGAUGGGCUCAUGUCCUAUCAGCUUGNGGUGAGGUAACGGCUCACCAAGGCUUCGACGGGUAGCUGGUCUGAGAGGACGAUCAGCCACACUGGCACUGCGACACGGGCCAGACUCCUACGGGAGGCAGCAGUAA
Molecule: ribosomal RNA, 338 nt
Filed under: uncultured bacterium
Lineage: Bacteria
Description: bacterial SSU rRNA
Rfam family: Bacterial small subunit ribosomal RNA
Source: RNAcentral